UCUCCCUGAAGUUUAGAGAACCAUGUUUGUAUUUAUUUACUGCAUUACCCAAGGUCCAAAGUAAAAGUAGUCUAAAGUACCUUUUUUAUUUUUCGUUUUGGUGGAAUGAUGACUAUGUCGCUUUGUGAGGUACUGGACUCUGAGGAGUCGGGGGCUUCGAUGUCUCCUGCAGCAGCUUAUGAGUAAAUACAUCAAGAAGAACUGGAUUAAUUCGAUUUACCAUUUCAACUACUGUAACUGUUGCUGGCUAACUGUGUCAGAAGGCUUGUGUCUGCAUAAAGGUCAGGGGACCUGUUGGUGGAUCGCUUCCUGUCUCUGGACUGGCUCAAAGAUGUGGUCUUCUCUUUUCUACUGUUUUGUGAGCCCCUCUGUUUGACAGCUGAGUCUGGGGUGAAAGCAAAAAUAAAACGGCAUUAAGCAAGCAAGCAAACAUGGAUGAAAUUACAUUUCAGCAUUUACACAGAGACCUAAUCUAAGAGUCCCCUAUUUCUAAAAGCAGAAGUUCAUCAAAUACGUGUCCACCUUGAGUUGAGAUUUUGUUCUAGUUUCACCUUCACUCUGGGCUUGGCUACAGGCCUCUGUGACACCUCAGCCAUGUCUUUCCUCCUCUCUUCCCUCUCAGUGCUUUCCUUUGCACUGCCUUGCUUGUUUGCUUCCUUCCUCUCUUUGUUCAGCAGGUGGUCUGGCGGUGGCUGGAAGGGGUACUUCCACCUAACCAUGAUCCUGACCAUGCCUCGAGGCCCACCAGCUGCAUCCCUCAGGACAUAGUCCCCUGAAGUCCCCAAAAAACAUGUCUGUGAGGCUGAGGGGGUCAUUUAAAACCAACUCCUUUGAUGUAAGGGUUUAAUAGUGAAUAGUGCAACCAGCUACUCUCCCUGUCUUACCUCUGAUGUCUCUGCCUGCAGCCAAGGCUCGCAGUGGGAUGGGGGUCUUGGCCAGAUAGGUGGGUGGUACUUGGUCAUCGCUGUCAUCAAACACAUAAACCCACAGACUACUAGACCUAGACACAAUUAGCACAAAACAUUUCUUUGAAUAUUUAGCAGGAACAGAGAUUCAGGAGAAUGGACGGUUGCUGAAAGACAUAUACUGUAUGACAAUACUUAUCAAUUUAGGAGACUAGAUGUAACACUCAUACCUCAAAUAGUGCAACACAUGUGUUGACACUGCCAGGGGGUAGCUGGUGGUAUCGUUGAACACCGGGUCAGCGCUGCACUGCACGGUUUGAGAGACGUGAGGGGGCAGGUCGUAGAACCUGAAUGUCAGGUAGGCAUCAGGCAGGAGUCCAGGCCAGCGCGUAUUCAGGCCCACGCAGCGCUCCAACGUCACCACCAACUCAUUUGGGAUCCCUCCACCGUAGUCAUGUAACUGCAGCAGUUAAGUAGGCAUUGUCACAAACCGCAGUGUUUAGAAAGGCUUAGAGUGACUCACAGCACGCUACUGUACCUCAUGGCCUUCCUGCCAGCCAUAGAAGGCCGGCACGAGGCUCCUGUCUGCUGCUGUUCUCCUGUCAGCUGGUCUCUCAGUAACGGCGUCCAUGGGCUCUGCAGGAGGGAACAGACGCACCCAGAAAUCCACAACACCAACUAUUCCACCCUCAGAGCCUUGGAGAGACACAGACAGGCAGACAGACAGAGCAACGCCAAUGAGAGACAUCUGCCCACUUCCAUGCGUCACAAACCUGACCCCUCCUAACGCCUGGUGGAGCUCCACUCUGACCCUUGACCCCUGACCCCCUAGCCUGCCCAGAUCAUGGGCUGUCAGAGCAUAGCGG
Long non-coding RNA from Betta splendens (Siamese fighting fish), 1771 nucleotides. RefSeq lists it as uncharacterized. The record is from RefSeq and is a predicted model, not a curated record. Lineage: Eukaryota; Metazoa; Chordata; Actinopteri; Anabantiformes; Osphronemidae. The transcript is spliced from 4 exons.